GUCUUUUUGAGUUUAAUUUAAAGUCUAAUCUGCCCACUGAUGAAAAUUUAAGGGCCGCAGUAUUUUGACUGUGCAAAGGUAGCAUAAUCAUUAGUCUUUUAAUUGAAGGCUUGUAUGAAUGAUUGAACGAGAUAUAAGCUGUCUCAUAUAAAAUUUAAAUAGAAUUUUAUUUUUUAGUUAAAAAGCUAAAAUGUAUUUAAAAGACGAGAAGACCCUAUAGAUCUUUAUAAUUUUAUUAUAUAUUUUUUUAGGUUAUUUUUUGAAUCUAUAAAUAAAAUUAUUUUGUUGGGGUGACAAUGAAAUUUAAUAAACUUUCAUAAUUUUAUUACAUUAAUUUAUGAUUUUUUGAUCCACUAUUAGUGAUUAAAAAUUUAAGUUACCUUAGGGAUAACAGCGUAAUUAUUUUGGAGAGUUCUUAUCGAUAAAAUAGUUUGCGACCUCGAUGUUGGAUUAAGAUUAAUUUUAGGUGUAGCCGCUUAAAAUAUUAAGUCUGUUCGACUUUUAAUUUCUU
This 511-nucleotide ribosomal RNA is filed under the name Poecilobothrus regalis. RNAcentral's name for it is "partial 16S ribosomal RNA". It matches the Rfam family "Bacterial large subunit ribosomal RNA", at positions 1829 to 2597 of the family's 2925-position model. The record is from RNAcentral. Lineage: Eukaryota; Metazoa; Arthropoda; Insecta; Diptera; Dolichopodidae.